UGAGGAAUAUUGGUCAAUGGGCGAGAGCCUGAACCAGCCAAGUAGCGUGCAGGACGACGGCCCUAUGGGUUGUAAACUGCUUUUAUGCGGGGAUAAAGUGCGGGAUGCGUCCCGUUUUGCAGGUACCGCAUGAAUAAGGACCGGCUAAUUCCGUGCCAGCAGCCGCGGUAAUACGGAAGGUCCGGGCGUUAUCCGGAUUUAUUGGGUUUAAAGGGAGCGUAGGCCGCCUUUUAAGCGUGUUGUGAAAAACCGGGGCUCAACUCCGGUCGUGCAGCGCGAACUGGAGGGCUUGAGUCCGCAGAAAGUGCGCGGAAUUCGUGGUGUAGCGGUGAAAUGCUUAGAUAUCACGAAGAACCCCGAUUGCGAAGGCAGCGCACUGUAGCGUCACUGACGCUGAAGCUCGAAAGUGCGGGGUAUCGAACAGGAUUAGAUACCCUGGUAGU
This 443-nucleotide ribosomal RNA is filed under the name uncultured Prevotella sp. RNAcentral's name for it is "bacterial SSU rRNA". It matches the Rfam family "Bacterial small subunit ribosomal RNA", at positions 355 to 794 of the family's 1533-position model. Lineage: Bacteria; Pseudomonadati; Bacteroidota; Bacteroidia; Bacteroidales; Prevotellaceae. The record is from RNAcentral.